AUGGGACCUAUGCAUGCUAGGCAAGCACUCACUCCUCCAAUGAAGCAAACCCCAACCUCUGCGUUUCCAUUUCUACUGUACCUCAGAAAAAUAAGUGGUCAACACAAUACACAGAGGAACAAGGUGAAGAAGCAGGUUCGGGGCCCUCGGAGACUCCUGUCUAGAGAGGAGACUUGCUGGAAAUAUAUCAACUUGGACAGCCAUCCCCAGGGGCCUGCUGUUGAAAUAUUUCCUGAGUGCUGAAGCUGAAGUGACCUGAACUUCUGGUCCAUCUGCCUCUACCUCCCUGGACUGGGAUUACAGGCACAGUCACAUCCCUGGCCAAGACUGAAGACUGAAGUCACCGACAGAAGAACCGCCGAGGCCAGUGCUAAAUGAGCCUUCAAAGCAACAGGAUCUCAGUCCUCCCCCUUUAGAGGGAUGGGUGCCCUCCCACCUGCUACAAUACAAG
This 451-nucleotide long non-coding RNA is filed under the name Cricetulus griseus (Chinese hamster). RNAcentral's name for it is "lncRNA (ENSCGRG00015042219.1)". Lineage: Eukaryota; Metazoa; Chordata; Mammalia; Rodentia; Cricetidae. The record is from RNAcentral.